Molecule: long non-coding RNA, 456 nt
Organism: Choloepus didactylus (southern two-toed sloth)
Lineage: Eukaryota; Metazoa; Chordata; Mammalia; Pilosa; Megalonychidae
Exons: 3
Source: RefSeq, a predicted model, not a curated record
CAGGUAGGAGCCUACCUUCUAGCUUCAGUAAAGUAGAAUGAAGGGAAAAGGGAAAGUAAUAUUUGUUGAGUGACAGUAUUGACAGUGUCAGGGGUUUUACAGAGUGUGAGAACAGGUAACCCAGGACUAACAUGGAGAGAGAAGACGGAGAAGUGGCCUUAGCUGAAAGGAGUAACGUGGUAACUACAUCCGUGAGGGCAGCACAAAGGGUGAAUGAGAGGAACACAGAGAUCUCUGGACCAGGGAUUAAAACUGAGAUUAACCAGUGGACAUCCCGCAUUUGCAAGAGGCUUUGGAGGCUUCUGAAGCAUGGAGGCUCCUUUUGCAAUAGGCUGCAGCAGUAUUAUCACUUCUGAACUUUGAUGGCCGUGUGAGAUGAUUGACUCAACGCAAGACUUUUGCAGUCACUUCUGCAAACCAGGGAUUCAAAUUAGACUGUGAGGCUUUGCAUUUUUA